Molecule: long non-coding RNA, 661 nt
Filed under: Phascolarctos cinereus (koala)
Lineage: Eukaryota; Metazoa; Chordata; Mammalia; Diprotodontia; Phascolarctidae
Description: lncRNA (ENSPCIG00000031207.1)
Source: RNAcentral
CAUCCCUUUUGGAGUGUUAUCAUUUUUUUCUGUAGGGAUGCUGACCUCUGCAAUAGCAGAGCUUAGCACAGUACCUGGAACCCAGUAGGUGCUUCAUGAGGACUUGCUGAUUGAUUGUAGAAAAGAAGACAGUCUUACUUGAUUACGAAAGGGAAGACAUGACUAUAAAGUUUCGUCCUUUCGAAAGAGUAUAAUUGUGUUCAGAAGUCAUGGCAUUUACAGCCAGAAGGGCUCCUUCCAUAGGCAAAGGCUCUCAUUUGAAAGGGCGAGUGAGCCCUGUGGCUCUCACUUCUGGCCCACAGCUGAGGCUGCAGCUACAUGUAUUCAAUGUGAAGGAGAUUCCCAGUUUGGAGGAGUGCAGAGAUUCAGGAGCUCACCCCAAAGCAGAGAGGAGAAGGAUCCUGCAACCAAUUAUCGAAAAUGAGUGCAGACGUCGAAAUGCGCAGUGAAGAGUUCGAUACCAAUCAAGAGGAAGUUGAUGAGAGGGCAGAGAAGCAAGCAGCAGGAAAGAAAGGAGACUACCAUCUUGGAGCUAAAGAACGAUCUUCAAACACAGAUAGAAGAAUUGAAAAGACAGAAAGAAGAAAGGGUACAAGAACAGAAACUACUUCAAGAACAAGAGCACAAAUUGUGUCAGAUUCUUUGUGUGCUCCCAUACAGC